AGGACUGGCCCCCCCAGGUCCAGAGUUGUCUGUCUGUCAGGACUGCCCCCCAAGGUCCAGAGUUGUCUGUCUGUCAGGACUGCCCCCCCAGGUCCAGAGUUGUCUGUCUGUCUGUCUGUCUGUCAGGACUGGCCCCCCCAGGUCCAGAGUUGUCUGUCUGUCUGUCUGUCAGGACUGCCCCCCCAGGUCCAGAUUUGUCUGUCUGUCAGGACUGCCCCCCAAGGUCCAGAUUUGUCUGUCUGUCAGGACUGGCCCCCCCAGGUCCAGAGUUGUCUGUCUGUCAGGACUGGCCCCCCCAGGUCCAGAGUUGUCUGUCUGUCUGUCUGUCAGGACUGCCCCCCCAGGUCCAGAGUUGUCUGUCUGUCAGGACUGCCCCCCCAGGUCCAGAUUUGUCUGUCUGUCAGGACUGGCCCCCCCAGGUCCAGAGUUGUCU
RNAcentral lists this long non-coding RNA (433 nucleotides) under Oncorhynchus mykiss (rainbow trout). RNAcentral describes it as "lncRNA (ENSOMYG00000065656.1)". The record is from RNAcentral. Lineage: Eukaryota; Metazoa; Chordata; Actinopteri; Salmoniformes; Salmonidae.